AACAUGACCGUAUUACAUAAGGUAAACACGUAUUGGCACAAAGUAACAAAAUGUAAUCCAUAUAUUCUGUCUCUCACAGAGUGAUUGAACAAGUAUGGCGCUACAAAGGCAUACUUGGAUUGUCAAAUGAACAUGUUGCGUUUGUUCCUGGUAGAUUAUAUCCUUGUUCUACAAGAGAUGUAAAGCGAUAUAUGUUAACCUCAAGGAACUCCUCUACAAUUUUGGAGGGCAACAAAUUGAGCUACCAGCAACAAACGAACACUGGCAUUCGACAUACUCCCGACCAUCUAUUGUUUUCUUCAAUUUUGAAUAUACGUGAUCUGUCCAGGA
Molecule: long non-coding RNA, 330 nt
Organism: Tigriopus californicus
Lineage: Eukaryota; Metazoa; Arthropoda; Copepoda; Harpacticoida; Harpacticidae
Exons: 2
Source: RefSeq, a predicted model, not a curated record